This 2237-nucleotide long non-coding RNA is filed under the name Cyanistes caeruleus (blue tit). Its description in RNAcentral is "lncRNA (ENSCCEG00000019427.1)". The record is from RNAcentral. Lineage: Eukaryota; Metazoa; Chordata; Aves; Passeriformes; Paridae.
UUGCAACUCUUACAUUUUUCACUUUAAAUUUUAAUCAGAAAAUAUCGAAGAAUCAAUAGCUAAACUUUGAAAGGUUCCGAAAGCAAACCUGAUUAUAAGUUAGUGAAUUAAUGAUUUAAUAUGUUACUGAAUAAUCAAUAAUUGCUAUCAGAUGUUCUGAAUCGCUCUUACUAAAUAUGUUUUGGGAAUUUUGUGAUUACAUGAUGAAGUUUCAGGCAGGCAUGCUGAACUGAAGAAGACAUCAGCAGUGUCACAGACAGUGGAUUGAGUGCAGCCUCAGCAGGUUUUGCAGAUGACACCAAGCUGAGUUGUGUGGGUGACACUCCUGAAGGAUGGGAUGCCAUCCAGAGGGACCUGGACAAGCCCAAGCAGUGGCCCAUGGGAAUCUCAUGAGGUUUAACAGAUCAAGUCCAAGCUGCUGCAGCUGGGACAGGACAACCCUUGGUACCAAUCCAGGCUGGACAUGAGCAGCCCCAGAGCAGCCCUGGGAGAAGGACUUGGGGGUGCUGGUGAUGAGAGGCUGGACAUGGCCCGGCCGUGUGCGCUGGGAGCCCAGGAACCCCCCGUGUGCUGGGCUGCAUCCAGAGCCCCGUGGGCAGCAGGGCAGGGAGGGGAUUCUGCCCCUCUGCCCCUCUCUGCUCAGACCCCACCUGCAGGGCUGCAUCCAGCCCUGGGCUCCCAGCACAGGAAGGACAGGGAGCUGCUGGAGCCGGCCCAGAGGAGACACCAAGGUGAUCAGAGGGAUGGAACAGCUCUGCUGUGAGGAAAGGCUGAGAGAAUUGGGGCUGUUCAGCCUGGAAGAAAGAAGGCUUUGGGGUGACUGAAUUGCAGCCUUCCAGCACCUGAAGAGAGCCCACAGGAAAGAUGGAGAGAGACUAUUUACAGGGCCCUGGGGUGACAGGACAAGGGGGAAUGGGUUCAAACUGACAGAGAGUAGGUUUAGGUCAGAUAUUAGGCAGAAAUUCCUUACUGUGAGGUUCGUGAGGCAUUGGCACAGGAAAAGCUGUGGCUGCCCUGUCCCUGUGAGUGUUCAAGGCCAGUUUGGAUGGGGCUCUGAGCAACCUGGUCUAGUGGAAAGUGCCCCUGCCCAUGGCAGGUCCCUUGGAACUCAAACCCUUCUAAGGUUCUAUGAUUCCCUGAUUUUCAGAAGCCCCUAUUCUGAUGUCACAAGGAUCUGUGCUCCAACAGUGGAUUUGCCACCUCAGUUGAGCCAUGGCUGCCUCCAAGCUGACCCAUGUCCUAGGUUAUCUGUCCAGCUCUGGGUGGGAGCUCAUGGCUUUUCACCUUCUGUGCACAAAGGCGGUGUCUGGCAGCUUGGAGUGAGGAGCAGGAUUGCUUUGGCCCAGCGAGGGCAGCACUGGAAACCUGUGUGUGCAUCCAAUAAUGCAAUGGCUGGAAGACAAGGAAGUGGCAGAGUAGCUGGGUGGAUGCAGUGGAUAUUGGCAAUAAUUCUGAUGCUGUGGGGUCACCAGAUCAGUGGACAAGGACAAGCUUGUCUACGAGGAAAGAAGAUCAAAGACAGAGGGACCAGGUUUGCCAGCUUUCCUGCUCUUUGGACACUGGGGAAAUUAGAACAGUCCCUCGUAAACUUAGAUUUGUAGUCCUGUCCUGAACAAAUAUGUUCAUAUAUAUGGAAGUUAAAGAAGAGGACAAUUUGUCAUAUCUCUAGAGAAAACUACUACCUUCUUUAAGAACUAAUUUAUCAAUUUACACAAGGUCUUUCAGCUCCAGGAUGGGAUCAGCUGGAAUGUCUCAUCAGGACAUCUGCUGGAGUUUUUGUAGCUCCUGGAAGCACAGCAUGCAGACCCUGUGCCAUGAGCUUCUGUGGCUCCAAAGCCUUCCAGCUUUAUUUGUGGAAAUAUCUCUCCUAGCUGGGCAGUGGCUACCCGAGGAAACAGAUACUCCUGUAAUUCAUGGUGGCGGUGAAAAUGGAUUUUCUCUCAGGAUUCCUUGUUUCCUCACCUUUUAGUGUAGCUGAUCUGACACCUGAAGCAGAUUUCCAUGGUUAUGUGGGAAAUCAGGUCACUCUGGCACUGGGUGGGAUCCUCUCUUGAGGAGCCACUUGGUUAUUUUUAUGUAUUUGACACUUUUCCUUCUCUUUGUUUUGCAACUCUUUUUGCAUCCAAAUUCACUCUUUUUACUGCUUUUUAAUGCACGUUAGAUAAACUACGCUUGGACUUUGUUACCCUGGAAAACCAAUUCUGCCCUGCAGAAAUAAAACAAAUUAAUUGUAACCA